This 378-nucleotide unclassified non-coding RNA is filed under the name plant metagenome. Its description in RNAcentral is "partial contains 5.8S ribosomal RNA, internal transcribed spacer 2, and large subunit ribosomal RNA". The stretch from base 1 to 105 matches the Rfam family "5.8S ribosomal RNA", at positions 50 to 154 of the family's 154-position model. The record is from RNAcentral.
GAAAUGCGAUAAGUAAUGUGAAUUGCAGAAUUCAGUGAAUCAUCGAAUCUUUGAACGCACCUUGCGCUCCUUGGUAUUCCUUGGAGCAUGCCUGUUUGAGUAUCAUGAAAUCUUCAAAGUAAAUCUUUUGUUAACUCAAUUGGUUUCUACUUUGGUAUUGGAGGUCUUUGCAGCUUCACACCUGCUCCUCUUUGUUCAUUAGCUGGAUCUCAGUGUUAUGCUUGGUUCCACUCGGCGUGAUAAGUUAUCUAUCGCUGAGGACACUGUAAAAGGUGGCCAAGGUAAAUGCAGAUGAACCGCUUCUAAUAGUCCAUUGACUUGGGCAAUACUUUUAUGAUCUGAUCUCAAAUCAGGUAGGACUACCCGCUUAACUUAAGC